AUGUCCCACCAGCAGCUCACGGGAGAGGAGGUGGGACACGGCAGGGGCGGGGGAACACAGCUGUGCCCCGGGGCUGGGUCCCUGCGCUAUAAAAGUGACUCCAGCAACCGUGUUGGGGAAGAGCAGCAGCCCCGACCUCUGCUCCUGCCUCCCGCAGCCUCCCACAGCUGCCAGGCCCUGAUGAUGAAGGUCCAGGUGCUGACAGUUCUGCCCCUGCUGCUGGCGCAGCUCUCCUUGGCCCCAGCACAGGCUGAGGCACGGGGAGGGAGCCUGCAGAGGCAGCCCAGAGGCUGGGGGCCCCCAGAAGCCCCCCACCCAGCUGGGUCUGGUGGGGACACCCUGCUCGGACAGGGCGCAGAGGGCAGCCACCCCCUGGCUGGAGCAUGGGAGGUGCUGGCUGAGCCCCCCCAAGCCCCCAGCGAGGCCAGGGGCAGCGGGCAGCAGGGCCCCCCCAGCCAGCUCCGCAGGCGCCCACCGCAGCCCUCCCGCAGCAGGAGCCUGGGGCUGAGCCAGCACCUGAAGGGCCACGGCAAGUUCAACGCCGACACGCACUCCUGCCAUGGCAUCCAGCGCCGGCCCUGCCAGAAGCCCUCGGACUGCAGCGGCUGCCUGGGGCUGUACACCUGCAAGCUGCCCGCGGGCACCUGUGGCCUGAAGGCCGUCUCCUGGCAGAGAGGUAGGAGGCAGCAUCCCCAUUGCACCCUGCACAGGCUCUGCGGAGCCCUGAGGCCGCAGCCAGCCCCGCUGCUCUCCGGGGUUUGUCUUCACAGGUGGGUUCCUGCGCAGCAUCCAGAGCGCCGGGUGGCACACGGGCACCCUGCUCCCUGAGCCACGCGGCUCCAAGUGAAGCUGGAGAGGCCGUCCUGCAGCUGAGACCGACGUUUCCUGCCCGUGUCUCCUUUUAAAUCCUUAAUUAUACAGCUGUAAAUGUUUCUGUCGCUGUGCUUUUCAUGCUGUUUGGUUUUUAACACCCCUGGAUGCCAUAUGCUGGGUAGGUGUGAGCCCCACUCUCCUUAGCGCUGCUAACAAAAUACCAAGUGGCUGCAGAGCAGCCCCCAAAAGGCACAAAUGUGGCUGUUUUACGACUCGAUUUAUUCUGGGCUGCUAGGAUAUUGCAGGUAAAGCUGCCGGUGUUUGAGCCCGGUCACACAAUAUUGAGUCCAAGCAGCCUGCUCGCAUCGGGAACCCUGGGAAGCCUCCCAGCUCCCUGCUGCAGCGCCCAGGGUGCAGGGCAAAGUCCCACGGUACUGAAACAUUGUGUGGGAAGGGGCACGCGGAGCUCCUGGGCCUGGUGAUGGGCCCACAUCUGCUUCGAGAGGCCUGAACUGAGCCAAAAGCUCAGCUUAACUUACUGCUGUGUGGGGCUUUAUGGGCACCCCAGCAGGCAUGGGUGCUCUUCAGCUUUGCAGAACCCCAUUUUGCUCUCAUUAAAAGAAAAAAACAUCUUUUAAAAAGAGAACAGGGACACAGCAGGUGACCAACCUCACACCACACCGCGGGUUCCCUUGCUGGCACUGCACAUGCUGCUGAUUUUCUCUGCUUGGUGCUGUGGCCUCCUCCACUGUGCAUCGGGCUCACGUGCUGCUCGCCCUCCACCUCCGCAGGCCGGUGGCUGCUGCAAAGCCACCUCCAGGGCCUCCACAGCCUGGCCUUAAAUCCCUUCGGCCUCUGCUCCUUGCACCGCCCCACCCUCACCCCGCACCUCUCCGUGUUGUACAUGUUGUGUGUGAUGCCACAGCUCCUGCCAUCUCUGCAGCCUUCCUGCCUCUCCUGCAUUUCACGGCUCUUCUGCGAGCACAACCAGCACCCGGCUCCUCUCAGUUCCUUU
This 1828-nucleotide long non-coding RNA is filed under the name Anas platyrhynchos platyrhynchos (common mallard). Its description in RNAcentral is "lncRNA (ENSAPLG00000028848.1)". Lineage: Eukaryota; Metazoa; Chordata; Aves; Anseriformes; Anatidae. The record is from RNAcentral.